UAUAUUUGACGACUCAGAAUGGGUUGUAUGGACCUAUUUUGCGAGCGUCACAUUAAUCAAUCAAAAUUAUCUUAUGCAUAGUGGAAUAUAAGUUUGAAAACCCCCUUUGAAAAUUUACUAAGAAAUUUCAGUUCUAAGAUAAGUCUUAUGGAUAGGCAAACACAUAGCAGAUAUGACAGUUAUAGAUUACAUAAUGUAAAUGACGUAAAGUAAAAGAAAUAAGAGAUUUUAAGUGGUUCGGAGACUAAAUAACUCAUAGUCCACUCUUCUACCCAACGAGUAAGAUAACCACUAAGGAUAUAGGCUUAGCAUACCAUUUUACAACUGAACCACUAAGGUUACUUCGAGUCACUAAAUCUCAGAAUCGAGUCACUUAGACUCGACAAUUCAAUCAUUAAGAUCAAGAUCCUCUGACCUUAAUUCGAUCACUAAGACCAUGAUUCUUUGACACAAAUUCGGUCACACAGAUCAGGAUCCAUCGAUCCCAAUUCCUGUUUGUUAAUGUAUGUUGGAGGUGCUGCUAAGAUAGCUUGUAUGCUCUUCAUCUUAUGGUACUUAGCAGCAUUGUUUUUAUCAUCUUCUUGGUGCUUGCUAAACUUGGCUUUAAUGCUUAAUCUCUCCUUGUAAUUCGCAAAUUUUCAUGAUCAUAGUUGAUGUGCUGCUAAUCAUUUCCAUUAAGCUUGACAUCUUCUUGUAGCUAGUAGUCUUGAGCACUUGUUGGGUCAUAGACUUCUACUCUACAUCUUCAUCAGUUUAGCAUUAAGUGUUAUUAGUGGAACAUAAAGUGGUUCUCAAUGUUUGCUUUCUAAUUUGCUAAUUCUACUUUUAGCACCAUCAACUACAUGGCUUUUUCAUACUUUGACUCUCAGCUUUGCCAUGUCCUCCAUUAUCUUGGCUCUUCAGUUCUGUCUUAUUAGCCCUUUGGCUUUUCACUCUUAGUCUUUGGCUUUGCGGUUCUAAUUUCUGUAACUGUUCACCAGCUUCUCAUAGUCUGAUGAUGUGAGACCCUGAAUUUUAUGAAAUGAAAGUAUUCAAUUUUCUUAUAAUUAUUCUAUUUAGUAAAUGGUUAAAUUGAUAAAACGUUAAAGUUAAGGGUGAUAUGUGAAAAUUUUUCAAAGUAUGCAAGUUGUUAUAAAAUAUUCGUUUGGUCGGGGAAUAUUCUUUUUAUCGAGAAUAUCCGUGCGACGGCACAAUCAUUGGUGGACCCCACAAUGGAAGUAUUGUCAUAGUUAGAAAAUGACAGAAUUAUCAUUUUAUAAAAAUAACAGUGAAAGUGUUACCGUUAAAACUGUUGAACUACUUGGUAGUAAAAGUACAGUAAUACAUGUGGUUGCAUAGUAGCACGCGACAUUGAUUAUUGAUGCUUACGUAAGAAGUCAC
RNAcentral lists this long non-coding RNA (1380 nucleotides) under Panax ginseng (ginseng). Its description in RNAcentral is "long non-coding RNA (PGIN_LNC007271)". The record is from RNAcentral. Lineage: Eukaryota; Viridiplantae; Streptophyta; Magnoliopsida; Apiales; Araliaceae.